RNAcentral lists this ribosomal RNA (521 nucleotides) under Helicodiscus barri. RNAcentral's name for it is "partial large subunit ribosomal RNA". The record is from RNAcentral. Lineage: Eukaryota; Metazoa; Mollusca; Gastropoda; Stylommatophora; Helicodiscidae.
AAAAACAUAGUUUUGAGAUAUUAUCAUAUAAAUUCAAAAUUUCCCCUGCCCACUGAAUUUUAUCUAAUAAUUAAAUGGCCGCAGUACUUUGACUGUGCUAAGGUAGCAUAAUAAAUUGGCUUUUAAUUGAAGUCGAGAAUGAACGGGAUUUUAAUCAGAAUCUGUCUCAAAUAUAGAUUUAUAGAAAUUACUUAUUAGGUGAAAAUUCCUAUAAUUAUUUAUAAUAGACGAGAAGACCCUUAGAGUUUUUAUUAAUAAGGUUUAUUAAUUUAAGUUAUUUAAAGAGAAAUUUCUUUAAAGAUACUAACAUUUAAAUUUUUGUUGGGGCAACAAGUAAACAAAUAAAAUAAAUAAAACUUUACCAGAUGGAUAUUAAAGAUAAAUAUAUGUAUUAAAAUAUAAGACAAAAUAAUUUUUUGAAUGAAUUAAGACUACCUAAGGGAUAACAGCAUAAUUUAAUAUAUAAGAUUAUGACCUCGAUGUUGGAUUAGGGCCUAGCUAGGUUAACCACUUAGAAAGAA